AGAGUUUGAUCAUGGCUCAGAACGAACGCUUGCUGCAUGCUUUAUACAUGCAAGUCGAACGAAAGCCCUACCUCGGAUGGUGUUCUAACUGGCGCCCGGGUGAUUACCCCUUGGGAACAUCCCUCUUAAUAGGGAAUGACUGCGGGAAACCGUAGCUAAUCCCGU
RNAcentral lists this ribosomal RNA (165 nucleotides) under uncultured alpha proteobacterium SUR-FREE-3. RNAcentral's name for it is "partial 16S ribosomal RNA". It matches the Rfam family "Bacterial small subunit ribosomal RNA", at positions 8 to 172 of the family's 1533-position model. Lineage: Bacteria; Pseudomonadati; Pseudomonadota; Alphaproteobacteria. The record is from RNAcentral.